UAACUCUACAACUUUCAAACAUUGCAUCUCUUCAACUUCUUCAUUUGAUUAAAUUCUGACUUCUUAAUUCGUAUCAUUCUCCUCUUCUUAAAAAAGAUUUUUCCUCAAAUCUUUUUCAAAUGUAGCUUCCGGUAAUCAUCUUAGAAAACAUAUUUUUAGAUAAGACGUAAAUAUAAACAAUGAAAAAGACCAAAGUAUAAAACUAAGACCGGAAGUGAUACUUUUUUUUCGAUUUUAUAUAAGUGGACAAAAUGUGAGAAUAUAACUAGAAAAAAAAUGAAAAUCAAGAAAAUAAGAGAACACAUUGCAAUAAUGAAAAGAUAUAUCCGAGUUGAGCCAAAAGCUCUGAUACCAAAUGAUAUGAAACUCAUGAGCAUUGGAUCUAAGAACCAUGUUAAACAAUAAGACUCAAUGAACACAACUCCAACAGCCACAAAACCAAUUUGAUUUCAAUGCCUAAGAUAGGCUAGAUACACAUUGCUUAAAUGAUCUAGCAAAUCGAGGAUCUAACAAAGUUAGAAACUUCCAUCAACCCUCAAUCUUCAAAGAACUCCAUAAGUAAGGUAGAUCAAUUCUCACUUGUAUGCUUCAAAUAUUCAUGCAUUCUAUCAUAAGAACACACAAGAACAAAAAUUCUACAUUAAGAACUUUCAGAUUUCAUUCAUCCCAAAUUUUUCUUUUAAAUGUGGAAAUUACAACCCUAUUUUAUACUAAUUAAAAUAUGAAAUGAAAUGUCACAACAUUUAAUUUUAUAUCAUUUCAACUACCAUAAUAAAUGAAAACCUAUAACAUUAAAUAAGUAUAUAAUUUCUUAAUAAACAUUUAAUUUUAUGACUUUUGGGUUGUCCAAAUAAGUUUUCAACUUCAAAGCAUUGCAUCUCUUCAAGUUAUUCAUUUGCUUCAAUUAUGAUUUCUUGAUUCAUUCUUCAAUUUGAAUCAUUCUCCUCUUCUUCAAGAAGAUUUGUCCUCAAAUUUAAAGGAUCUCUUCAAAAUGUAGCAUAUGGUAGUCAUCUUAUUUACACUUAAAUUCACGAACAAAGUUCAACAUGAAAUCUCUUAAAUCACUACACUUUUGUUUAUACAUUUUCAAAAUGACGACAUUUAACACUGAAGAAAAUUAUUAGAAUACCUUGAAGCAAACAAAUUUGUAGAUAAGACUAAUACGAAUCAAUCAACCAGAAAAUUUAAUCAAAUGAAGAAGUUGAAGAGAUGCAAUGCUUGGAAAUUAAAGAGUUAUUUUGGCAACCCAAAAGUCAUAAUAUUAAAUGUUUAAGAAAUCAAGUAUUUAUGUGCUUUCAUUUAUUAUGGUAGUUGAAAGGACAUAAAAUUAAAUGUUGUGACAUGUCAUUUCAUAUUUUAAUUAGAAUAUAUAGGGUUGUAAUUUUCACAUUUAAAAAAGAAGAAUUUAGAUGAAUGAAAUCUGAAAAUUCUAGAAUGUAGAAUUUUGUUCUUGUGUGUUCUUGUGAUAGAAUGCACGAAUAUUUGGAGUACUCAAGUGAGGAUUGAUCUGUCUUGCUUGUGCAGUGCUUUGAAAAUCGAUGGUUGAUGGGAGUUUCUAACUUUGUCUGAUUCUUGGUUUCUUAGAUCAUCCAAGCAAUCUGUAUCUAGCCUAUCUUAGGGGUUGAAAUCAAAUUGGUUUUGUUGCUGCUGGGGUUGUGUUAUUUGAGUCUUGUUGUUUAACAUGGUUCUUAGAUCCAAAGCUCAUGGAUUUCAUAUCAUUUGGUAUUAGAGCUUUUCGCUCUAAAUCGAGUAUACCUUUCCAUUUCAUUGUGUUCUCUUAAUUUCUAUAUUUUUCUAAUUAUUUUAUCACAUUUUGUCCGCCAUAUAAGAUCUGAAGAAAAAAAAAGUGUUAGUUUCAUUCCUAGUAUUACAAUUUCGUCUUCUUCAAUGUUUUAGAUCUAGGUCUUAUCUAAAAGUUUAUUUUCCUCAAGGUCUUCUAAUUCAAUUUCCUCCGAUGUAAAAUGUGAUCAUUUUAAAAAUUCGUAAAAAGAAAAAUGUUGUGAUUUGUGAGAUUGCAUGUUGAACUUUGUUGUUCAUGAAUUCAAGUGCGAAAAAGAUGACUACCAGAACCUACACUUGAAAUAGAUCCUUUAGAUUUGAGGACAAAUCUUCUUCAAGAAGAGGAGAUUUACCUUUUAAAAAAAAUGAUACGAACAAGCAACCAAAAUUUAAGCAAAUGAAGAAGUUGAAGAGAUGCAAUUCUUGAAUGUUGAGGAGUUAUUUUGACAAACCAAAAGCCAUAAUAUUAAAUAUUUAAGGAAUUAUGUAUUUAUGUGCUUUAAUUUAUUAUGGUAGUUGAAAGGACAAAAUUAAAUGUUGUGAUGUUUCAUUUCGUAUUUUAAUUAGUAUAUAUAGGGUUGUAAUUUUCACAUUUAAAAAGGAAGAAUUUGGAUAAAUGAAAUCUAAAAAUUCUAGAAUGUAGAAUUUUGUUCUUGUGUGUUCUUGUGAUAGAAUGCACGAAUAUUUGAAGCAUUCAAGUGAAGAUUGAUCUGUUUUGCUUGAAGUCUACAACAACUAAUAAGAAUAAAAUUCUAGAAUUUUCAAAUGGAGGUUUUUAAAAAUUGAAGAAUUGAUAAACUAUUUACAGUACAUAGCAAAAUUUUAAUCCAAACCCAAAAUGGAUAACUAAAAUUUUAACCCAAGCCCAAAAUGUCAAUGUUUUUUUGCUAUAAGAUGUAAAUACUUUCUAUGAAACUGUCAAUGUAAAAUUUCCAUUUUCAAAUUUCAUUAAUCCAAAUUCUUCUUUUUUAAAUGUGAAAAUUACAACCCUAUUUAUACUAAUUAAAUUAUGAAAUUAAAGGUCAAAACAUUUAAUUUUAUGCCCUUUCAACUACAGUAAUAAAUGAAAACACUAAAUACAUAAUUUCUUUUAAUUUUAUGACUUUUGAGAUGUCCAAAUAACUCUUCAACUUCCAAGCAUUGCAUCUCUUAAACUUCUUUAUUUGCUUCAAUUAUGAUUUCUUAAUUCGUAUCUUAAUCCUCAAUCCAAAGAUCCAAGCUAUUAGCGUAGCAAGAACCUUUGAAAUAAGAAACUAACACCUUCUUAUACUAAUUUAGAUCAAUCAAGAGAAAUUUAGGAUUAGAUUACCUCUUAGAUUAAAGAUCUAGAAGCAAGAUUUGGAAAUAUUCUUCUAAAUUGAGUCACUCCACAACCAAACUUGGUCAAGGUUAGAUUGAAUGGAUGACAUGCAUUCUUUCACAAAAAUUGCAAAUUAAGGGAAAACUCUCAAAAUGAGAUUUCAAAUUGCAUUCA
RNAcentral lists this long non-coding RNA (3253 nucleotides) under Cucumis sativus (cucumber). RNAcentral's name for it is "long non-coding RNA (CSAT_LNC002327)". Lineage: Eukaryota; Viridiplantae; Streptophyta; Magnoliopsida; Cucurbitales; Cucurbitaceae. The record is from RNAcentral.